Molecule: regulatory RNA element, 140 nt
Organism: Beijerinckia indica subsp. indica ATCC 9039
Lineage: Bacteria; Pseudomonadati; Pseudomonadota; Alphaproteobacteria; Hyphomicrobiales; Beijerinckiaceae
Rfam family: speF leader
About the family: This family is a putative regulatory RNA structure that is found upstream of the speF gene encoding ornithine decarboxylase in Agrobacterium tumefaciens and other alpha-proteobacteria.
Source: Rfam
UGUCAGCCUCCAAAGCUGACGUACCGAAGAGGCUUGUCUAUCUUGCCGGGCGUGCGGAAGGGAAUUCAUUCCAUUCCAAUCGAAGGCUACAUUUUCCAACAAGGCAUUGUCGUGCCUCGUUGCAAGAACAUGUAGGCCCA